This 500-nucleotide ribosomal RNA is filed under the name uncultured Pseudomonadota bacterium. Its description in RNAcentral is "bacterial SSU rRNA". It matches the Rfam family "Bacterial small subunit ribosomal RNA", at positions 355 to 873 of the family's 1533-position model. The record is from RNAcentral. Lineage: Bacteria; Pseudomonadati; Pseudomonadota.
UGGGGAAUAUUGGACAAUGGGCGAAAGCCUGAUCCAGCAAUGCCGCGUGAGUGAAGAAGGCCUUAGGGUUGUAAAGCUCUUUCGGCGGGGACGAUGAUGACGGUACCCGCAGAAGAAGCCCCGGCUAACUCCGUGCCAGCAGCCGCGGUAAUACGGAGGGGGCAAGCGUUGUUCGGAGUUACUGGGCGUAAAGGGCGCGUAGGCGGUGCGACAAGUCAGGCGUGAAAGCCCCGGGCUUAACCUGGGAAUUGCGCUUGAUACUGUCGCGCUAGAGAUCGGGAGAGGAUGGCGGAAUUCCCAGUGUAGAGGUGAAAUUCGUAGAUAUUGGGAAGAACACCGGUGGCGAAGGCGGCCAUCUGGACCGUAUCUGACGCUGAGGCGCGAAAGCGUGGGGAGCAAACAGGAUUAGAUACCCUGGUAGUCCACGCCGUAAACGAUGAGUGCUAGACGCUGGGGGCUUGGCUCUCGGUGUCGUCGCUAACGCAUUAAGCACUCCGCCG